CCCUUAGAUGUUCUGGGCUGCACGCGUGCUACAAUGGCGUUUCCAGCAAGUCUGCGAACCCGAGAGGGCCAGCGGAUCUUCGAAUUGGCGUCGUGAUCGGGACAGUCGAUUGCAAUUAUUUGACUCAAACGAGGAAUUCCUUGUAAUCGCGAUUCAUCAUAUCGCGCUGAAUACGUCCCUGCCCUUUGUACACACCGCCCGUCGCUCCUACCGAUUGAGCGAUCCGGUAAAUGUUUUGGUUUGGUGCCGGGGCGGCUAGCUGCCGGUCGCUACGAAAUUUUGUGAACCUUAUCGCUUAGAGGAAGGAAAAGUCGUAACA
Molecule: ribosomal RNA, 319 nt
Filed under: uncultured eukaryote
Lineage: Eukaryota
Description: partial 18S ribosomal RNA
Rfam family: Eukaryotic small subunit ribosomal RNA
Source: RNAcentral